GAUGAAGAACGUAGCGAAAUGCGAUAAGUAAUGUGAAUUGCAGAAUUCAGUGAAUCAUCGAAUCUUUGAACGCACAUUGCGCCCGCUAGUAUUCUGGCGGGCAUGCCUGUCCGAGCGUCAUUUCAAGCCUCAAGCCCCCGGGCUUGGUGUUGGGGAUCGGCGAGCCUCCGCGCCCGCCGUCCCCUAAAUCUAGUGGCGGUCUCGCUGUAGCUUCCUCUGCGUAGUAGCACACCUCGCACUGGGAAACAGCGCGGCCACGCCGUUAAACCCCCAACUUCUGAACGUUUGACCUCGGAUCAGGUAGGAAUACCCGCUGAACUUAAGCAUAUCAAUAAGCGGAGGA
This 343-nucleotide unclassified non-coding RNA is filed under the name soil metagenome. Its description in RNAcentral is "partial contains 5.8S ribosomal RNA, internal transcribed spacer 2, and large subunit ribosomal RNA". The stretch from base 1 to 120 matches the Rfam family "5.8S ribosomal RNA", at positions 35 to 154 of the family's 154-position model. The record is from RNAcentral.